Molecule: non-coding RNA, 88 nt
Filed under: Elusimicrobiota bacterium
Lineage: Bacteria; Pseudomonadati; Elusimicrobiota
Description: Elusimicrobia bacterium c-di-GMP sequence
Rfam family: c-di-GMP-I riboswitch aptamer
About the family: GEMM was predicted in a large-scale screen for bacterial structured RNA regulatory elements. Genes associated with GEMM are involved in a diverse array of functions, including chemotaxis regulation, signal transduction, secretion and chitin.
Source: RNAcentral
UCACGACAAUAGCAAACCCCAAGUAAUUGGGGGACGCAAAACCUCCGAGCCUAACGACGAAUCGCCGAAGGCCAGCGGGGCUGCCGAA